GGACUCUACAAAUCCAUGCUGGGCUACAAUUCCUGCCCCUUGCUCACGCAUCACUGCGUUUCUUAAGAUUACUGGUUGAGAAUCGGGCAAUAGCUUCUUUCCAAACAAUACAGGACUAUUCUUCAGAAACCCAUCUCUUAUGCAAGACGGGGGAAGUUCUUUCAUUAAUAAGACUCAGCUCAUUGUUCCUGGAACACUCGAAGAUCAGUUCUGCUGAGCAAAUGACAUCUUGAAAAACCUGGCUUUGCUUGCUCUCAUGACUACAGCAGGAACUGCAAGUUAAACAUUCUGCGAAUUAGCGUUAAGUGCAAAACCAUAGAAGCAAAAUGUUCUUGUUCAUUGUUUGGUUGUUGCUUAGCUUUAACUGAUUAGUAUACUUUGUUGUAUCCUUUUAAAUUCAAAACUAAUUCACAAA
Molecule: long non-coding RNA, 415 nt
Organism: Gavialis gangeticus (Gharial)
Lineage: Eukaryota; Metazoa; Chordata; Crocodylia; Gavialidae
Exons: 2
Source: RefSeq, a predicted model, not a curated record